CGCAAGAGUAGAAGCGUUCAACCGGCCCACAGACAGACAAGUCAUGGCGCAGGUGGGAAAUUGCUCUUGUU
Molecule: non-coding RNA, 71 nt
Filed under: unclassified sequences
Description: Xanthine-I sequence
Rfam family: Xanthine riboswitch aptamer (NMT1 RNA)
About the family: Later it was reported as a ncRNA that recognised Xanthine.
Source: Rfam by way of RNAcentral